CCUCCGCUGGUUUUACCGUCGCGAUAGAACCAAUCCCUCGCUAGCCCUACCUCGUCUCCCGUCUCCAGUCGCAGCCGCCGCCGCACCCCAAUCCAACCCCGCCGCCGGCGAUCUCCUCGCCCCCCUACGCCGCCGCCCCCAACCUUCUAUUCCUCUCCCAACGGAAUCCCAAGGGAAGGGAAGGCAAGGGAAGUGAAGGGAAGGGAGAGAGAGCGCCUAGAUCCACGGCGGCAUCAGCGCGCCGUCGUUGACCUAAUCUGCGUCCGUCCUCGAGGGAGGUCGGCCAUGGAGGUCCGACCCGGCCCGGCAGCAGCCAUGGACGGACGGAGACGCCCCAAACCCUACCCUCAACCUUCAACCGGAUCUUCCACCACACCACAUCGGCCUCCCUGACUUCACGCAGGAGCUCCACUGCUUCCAGAACGUCACCUGCUUCCAGGUACGUCUACGUGCGUGUAGCUGUCUUCUUUUCUUACUCAAUUCAUAGUUGUUCAGUUUUAAUGUCAUUUCUGAAGUCGAAAUGCACUGAUUUUAUUAGGGAUUUUAGCACUGCUUAAAUUUAGGGGGACAUUAAUUUUAGUUUCAGUUUGGUCAAUGGACUGGAUAUGUAGUCUAAUUCGCAAUCCCCUUUGUGACAUAUUCAGGUUGUGACAUUUUAUAAUUGAUCAAUCUGUAAUCCCUAAUUCUUUUUAAUUAAAAAUUCAGGAGGCGAAGCUCUCUUUUACGAUUUUGUGAUGUUCUUGUUGAUUGUGCCUUCAGUAUGUCUCCCUAAACUCUAGCUCGGUCGUGGGAGAGAGAGAAUUCAGAGAGGAAGAACACGCAGAGACACUGAAGUUUUUUUGUGCCGCGCUCUACAUCUGCAGCUUUUCUGUUUUACCCUUUUUAUUCAUCAAGAGUACACGAUCGUGCCUGAGCAACGUGCUCCACUACUGACCACGUCCAUCCCCAUGAUCCGAGCUUCGUGCUGGGCCUACUACGACUAAGCCAAGGCGCACAAAACGCAACCAAUUGGCGAGGAAAAACUGCUAAUGGAAAAACGACUGGCUACUGACGAAACUGAAUGUGUCUAGCGACACUUAUCUGAAAAAUGACUAAAUUCAGAGAAGGGCGAGGGAGACAGGGUUUAAGCCAACACAGUAUUCUCGGUGGCUUCAGCAAGUAGUAAUGCAAUAGGCUAAUGUUUGAUUAGUGAAAUUUGUGCAGCAAAUAGUAGUGUAGCAGGCCACGGUGUGUGAUAUUUGUAGUGCAAUGGAUGCUGAAAUCUGUGUGUGCUAUUUGUAUGUGCAAUGUGCAGGCUGUGUGCAACUUCAUGUGCAAUUUCAGAAUAGAAUACUACUGUAUCUAGCUCUGAAUUACAAGAGAUUAUCAACACUUAUAUAUUCAAUGUACAAGUUCUGAAUUAGAGUUGAUUAUGACCACUUUUUGUAAACAUCCUUAUAUGUUUGUAUUGUGUCCAAGAAGUUGUCAUCUUUCCGAAGACAAAGUAUGGGUUGAGUAAGCUGUUUGGUGUUGGAAUCAGCGAGGUUGGUCAUGUUGGUGGUAUUCUCUUAUGUGCACGCCUCUGAACACCCAUCAAGGGGGAAUGGUAUGUUUCGAUAAUCCAAUGAUCAAUUUCUGGUGGUACGUCAUAUUUUUCAUGGUAAUGAUGGUGUGUUUCCUUUUAGUUUUUGUCAUGGUACUACCUUGUUCCUAACUUUGAAAAAAGAACAGAUCAAGAGCAUUAGUGAAACAACCUCUAUCCAAAGAGAAAGGGUUAAUCAUGGAUCUUCAUAACUGAUGCAAAGAAUCUUCUAACUGUUUAGUAGCUCUGAGAGAUAAUUAACCCAUUUGAGGUUUGGAUAUGCAAUUUAUGCCCUAUAUAGUAAGCUAGAGGGCUCUUUCUGAUUCUUUGUGUGUGUAUAGAUACGCAGGUUCUUAGCAAUGAGCCGUUCUGGUUAAUUCUUAUGCAUGUGGUUGCUAUGCCUCUCUUAGUAUUUCUGUGAUUUUUCAUGCAUUUAGUUCUGCUUCCUAUCCAAACAUGGUGUUCAGUUCACUAUCUUUUGUUGUGCACAAUGCUUGGAUAUGCCCUACGGAGAAUUCUCAAAAUUCUUAUUCUUUGAAUUGUUUAGCUUAGGAGCAUUUGUUGUACGUAAGCACAUACAGAAAUAAGAUUUUAUCUACUUCUAAGGAUAUGGUGGUAGAAACAACAAGGAGCAUGACCAGGAUAGGAGAGUACAGAGGGCUCUGCCAGUGCACUACAUCACAGAUGUCAUCUGUAGGAAUGAUGGCAUCGACUGUCAUUUGCACGUUUACAGAUUCACAAUGGAGGUGAGAUUGGUAUAUGCUUCGUCAGCACAAGUCCUAUGUAACGAAGUUGGAUAAUAUACGAUUCCUUACGAAAGACUAAUUUCGAGAAUGCAUCUUUUGUGAGAUUAAUAGCUAGCUUGAUUUGGAUGCUGUUGGAAUUGUUUUAUUCUUUUAGGUGUCAUGAUCUCUAGCGGUAGCUAGCCUGGUUUGGAGGUGUUGAUCCUUCACAUCACAUUCGGAACCGUUCGCUCUUUGGUUACGAUUUGGCUGCCAUACAGCGGAAUCUGGCUGAAAAAGGGAAACCAAACAGGGCCAAAAAUUCUUCGCAUUAUUCAGGUAUGCAGGAGAAUAAUGGAGUUGUUCGAUCUGGAGUUUAUUCCAAGGUGCAAAAUUUACCAAAAUGAACUAUAAUGCUAAUGAUUUUGUUCCAUUUAAUUUCUUGGGAGUUGUCGCACAUUAAAUUCUUGCCGCAAUCCCUCUAUAAAUUUUUAGGCGUUCUGAAUUUUGAUGUAGCCAUUCGUCUCAUAGCUGCAAUCGGAAGGCCAAAUUCAAAGUUCGGUCUUUUUCUGGAAACUAAAACAGUGGCAUAUAGUAUUUUCUUCCACUCUAUUAUAUCCUCUUGUUUUCUAGAGAACUGAUCAUACCUAUCUUGCUGGAUUUGUUUAUGAUCUGUGUUUUACUCUGGGUGUCUCUUGACAAAAAUGGAUAUGAAUGAGAGGCGCUCCAAGGAGCAAGAGAAAUCAUGUGUAAAUACAAGUGCACUUUGAUUUUUUAUGCCAUUUAUAUAACUAAAAUAUUAAUGAUGGUUGUACAUAGAGUUUUAGACCUGUGGCUCUUUUGUUUACAUUUAAUCAUGUGUAAAACUUGGGAACAUGUAUGGAUGGACAAUACUAUGUGGAUUUGAUCAUUUUAUUGACUAAUUAUACAUCGUAUGAACUUAUAGAGUUUAGAGUUGUUUAUCCUGUUCUAAUGCUGGAGUUAAAAGUUUCAUGUAGCUAAUGCCAUCAUCUUUAUAAUAGAGCGGCAACAUACUCCGUAAGUUUUCACCCUACUCUAGGAAGCCAUUUCAUCAGUUUUUGGCUUCUGACACACUCGGAGCAACAAAUUUUGUGCUGCUAAUUGUUCUGUCCUCUCCGUUCUCUCUCUUUGCACUUACUUGUGAUUUUUGCUUAUGUCCGCGUACAGAUUUCAUCCAGGAAAUUUAGUCCUAGGGACUUUGAUAUACAAUGAUACACCAAAGCAAGCAAAGAAGCCAAAAGAAGUUAAAUGUUUUUACCUGCUGCUGGCAUCCGAUGAGCAGUUGCAGGUGUCAACCAUAGUAUUGUUAUAUGAAGUGAGAGUUGCAUGUGCUUAUCUGAAGCUUAUACUAAUAAUGUGCCUCCCUAAUUGUGGCUGAUCUGGAGCUCAUACCCAUGUUGGGAAUUUGCAGCAGGUCUGAUCCCUUGCGCGUGCUCCUCCGCUUGCCCUCUCGACCCUCCCCUUGCUCAUCGCCGUCCAUUUUAUUCAGAGUGUAGAUGGCGGGCAAAACACCUAAGCUCCAGAGCAAGGAUGAAAAGCACUCCAUACACACUCACAAGGAUGAUGAUCCAUCUGUUUCUAGGAUGGUGGGACUUGAGGUCAAACUGCACAGGUAUGCACCAGAUUCAAGGAUCAGCUACUUGAUGAAAUAUACAGGAGACUCUCCUACUCAACAUUACCUUAAAAAAGAAUCAAGGAUCAGUUCAAUGGGAAUUGGAAUGAUGAAAACACUUGUUUGAGCACAUCUGAUCCUCAUAAUAGCAUAUUUUUAAUAAAUCACUGUAGUCAAAUCACUUUUUUUUUAUAAUUUCUAUAGUAAAAUCACUUACUAUUGUGUAUAAGUGCCAUUAAGGAUAAUCCUAGAUCUGCGGGAUAGUUUGGAAGUUAUACCCAAGGCAUUAUAAUUGCUCUAUAUUAUUAUUAAUUUCGUAUAUCAUCACCUUAGACUACUCGAACUGUCGGCCAUGCUUUGUGAUUAAACAAUUCUUGACUGAUUAAAUCCAUUUCAAGUGUAAUGCAAGUGUUGAAUUGUGAUCCAUGAACAGCAAGCCCAUUUGGGGAAUGUAUUUGAACAAUGACCCAAGCAGUCGCACAAGUGGAUCUGCACAUAUUAUUAUCAAGGUAUCGUCUCAUCUUUCAAUUUUCUUUGCCACUCUAAAAUAAUCGGUUUUCUCUUUCAUGUGAGCAUUUUGAUUUUUUUUCUAGAAGCUUGACAAGAAAACUGAAAACAAAUAAUUAGAGAAGAUUAACCGGGCGGGAGGAGAGGGAAGAAGGGAUAAAGAGAAAAGAAAUACAUAGUAAAGUUAUAUUGAUUAAAGAGUUCUAGCAAUGCAUCUGCUUCUAACUAUAUAUAAAGAUCUUGCAUGUGAUUAACCGGGCGGGAGGAGAUGGAAGAAGGGCUUGGCCACUUGGAUCGUGAGAUGACUAUUCGGUUGACCAUUUGUGCUAUCUAUUCAAUGUCAUGCAUCAUAGAAACAAAGAUUAGUUUUGUUGUUGUGGAUUUUGCAGGAAAACAGAGUAGGUCAUGGUGGAUGAAGAGAACAUUAACCGACAGACUUUUCGGUAAAAAAAUUGGCUGCCUUGAUUAGUUUAUUUCUUAUCAAUUAAAUUUGUAUGUGAAGUACAAAAAGUUGAUAAUUGGGACAGAAUUAUGACUUUUACUAUGUACCAUUUUCAUAUAUUCCUCAACAACACGUCUAGAUUCAUGUAGAUAAUAAUUUGAACACGUCUAGCAAUUUACAUGUCUUCUGGGCAAGCUAAGCUAUUUUCUUGAUGAUCCAAGCAGGUUGCUGAUCAAAUAUAAAAUAUGUAAUUUUCUGGUUCAGUAAUAAACGGGCAAUUCAACUUAUGGCUGGGGCAGCCUGAUUUCCUCCUACACACGCCCGCUAGCAGCAGCAGUUACGACCAGGCGGUUGCGGAAGGUGAUAGGUGUGGUGGUCGGCGGUGCCUGGGCUAUUGAUGUUCGAUUUGAGAGGAAGAAGAGAGAUUGGCUGCUGAUUUUGGGAGGAAGAAGAGAGAUUGAGCGUGCUGUUGCUGCCGUGUGUGGUCUUGGGAGAGGAAUAAAAGAGAGUAGUAGAGAGCUUUAGAGAGAUAGCAAAGGAUUGAGAGGCUACUCCUAUUUGUAUUGCUGUCGAUGCUUGCACAAUGCCACUGCUUAUUAUACUGUGUUAUUCAUCUUUGAAAAAAACAAUCAUUUUCUCCCUUCAA
This is a long non-coding RNA of Triticum aestivum (bread wheat), 5511 nucleotides long. RefSeq lists it as uncharacterized. Lineage: Eukaryota; Viridiplantae; Streptophyta; Magnoliopsida; Poales; Poaceae. The transcript has 5 exons. The record is from RefSeq and is a predicted model, not a curated record.